AAGACUCAUGCUACUGUACUGCAGAU
This 26-nucleotide non-coding RNA is filed under the name Cricetulus griseus (Chinese hamster). Lineage: Eukaryota; Metazoa; Chordata; Mammalia; Rodentia; Cricetidae. The record is from RNAcentral.